GGCGGACGGGUGAGUAACGCGUGGGUAACCUGCCUUAUACUGGGGGAUAACAGCCAGAAAUGACUGCUAAUACCGCAUAAGCGCACAGAACCGCAUGGUUCGGUGUGAAAAACUCCGGUGGUAUAAGAUGGACCCGCGUUGGAUUAGCUAGUUGGUAGGGCAGCGGCCUACCAAGGCGACGAUCCAUAGCCGGCCUGAGAGGGUGAACGGCCACAUUGGGACUGAGACACGGCCCAGACUCCUACGGGAGGCAGCAUG
RNAcentral lists this ribosomal RNA (258 nucleotides) under uncultured bacterium. Its description in RNAcentral is "partial 16S ribosomal RNA". It matches the Rfam family "Bacterial small subunit ribosomal RNA", at positions 97 to 353 of the family's 1533-position model. The record is from RNAcentral.